GCCUGGGUGGCUCAGUCGGUUAAGCGUCCGACUUCGGCUCAGGUCAUGAUCUGGAAGUCUGCAAGUUCGAGCCCUGCACCGGGCU
Molecule: transfer RNA, 85 nt
Filed under: Felis catus (domestic cat)
Lineage: Eukaryota; Metazoa; Chordata; Mammalia; Carnivora; Felidae
Rfam family: tRNA
About the family: Transfer RNA (tRNA) molecules are approximately 80 nucleotides in length. Their secondary structure includes four short double-helical elements and three loops (D, anti-codon, and T loops).
Source: Rfam by way of RNAcentral